CGUAGGAGACAAACGUUAUCCGGAGUUACUGGGCGUAAAGGGCGUGUAGGUGGUUUCGUAAGUCUGGCGUGAAAUUUUUCGGCUUAACCGGGAAAGGUCGUCGGAUACUGCGGGACUAGAGGGUGGUAGAGGCGUGUGGAAUUCCGGGUGUAGUGGUGAAAUGCGUAGAGAUCCGGAGGAACACCAGUGGCGAAGGCGACACGCUGGGCCAUACCUGACACUGAUGCGCGACAGCAUGGGGAGCAAACAGGAUUAGAAACCCUGGUAGUCCAUGCCGUAAACGAUGCUAGCUGGGUGUUCAGGGGGGGAAACCCCUCGGGGUACCGAAGUCAACACGGUAAGCUAGCCGCCUGGGGAGUACGGUCGCAAGAUUA
RNAcentral lists this ribosomal RNA (374 nucleotides) under uncultured organism. RNAcentral describes it as "bacterial SSU rRNA". It matches the Rfam family "Bacterial small subunit ribosomal RNA", at positions 526 to 896 of the family's 1533-position model. The record is from RNAcentral.